AAAUUGACUGCUUCAGAAAAGCCAUUCAGAAUGACCACUUGGGUUCUGUAUUCCUCAUAAAGGUCAACUUUGACUCGAGAGAAAAUAAGUUCUAUCGGCACUGCCUCCCCCAGCAGACUGUACACAAUCACAUGCUGCAGAACGAUGUUUUGGACAAUGAUGAACCGGAUACACGACAGUGGUCUCCUAAGAUGAUCAUGGAGCUGAAAACUUCAUCGAGAGCUGUCAUAACACCACAGUGCAAUUACUCUAUUUUUAAAAUAAAUGUACUGCAGCCUCAGUGUGCCAUGUUGAUAAAGUCUGCAGUCAUGUACAGCAAUGUCCUAGGCCUUCACAUUCACUCAGCGCUCACUCACUGACUCACCCAGAGCAGCUUCCAGUCCUGCAAGCUCCGUUCAUGACAUAGGAAGGUGACAGUACCGGGAACCUCAUCGAAAACAGGUGUUAAGUACAUGCUUGACACCAAGAAUAACAAAAGCAAAGAUGCAAGAGCUCUUUCCUAUGGGUUUUUCCUGAUCAGACUCUGCUAUUUGAAAGGGAUCUGGAAAGAAGUGAGCCAAGCUCACCUUUGUGAAGACU
This 579-nucleotide long non-coding RNA is filed under the name Homo sapiens (human). Its description in RNAcentral is "HSALNT0388383". The record is from RNAcentral. Lineage: Eukaryota; Metazoa; Chordata; Mammalia; Primates; Hominidae.